UCGAAUCCUGCAAAUAGCAGAAUGACCCGCUAACUCGUAAACCAUUUGGGCAAGCGUCGGGGGCCCUUGGUCCCCUGUCCGCGAAUCCCUGGUAGGUGGCCACUCCCGGGUGGCCACUGGCCUGCAAAAUCAUUUGGGCGCGGAAUGCGCCAAGGACCUUAAAACUGAAUUGCACGUCUGUAUCCCGUUAGCGGGAAACGACGUCGUUCCAAAACAC
Molecule: unclassified non-coding RNA, 217 nt
Filed under: Dichoropetalum carvifolium
Lineage: Eukaryota; Viridiplantae; Streptophyta; Magnoliopsida; Apiales; Apiaceae
Source: RNAcentral